This is a long non-coding RNA of Empidonax traillii (willow flycatcher), 197 nucleotides long. RefSeq lists it as uncharacterized. NCBI's taxonomy places the organism in Eukaryota, Metazoa, Chordata, Aves, Passeriformes, Tyrannidae. The record is from RefSeq and is a predicted model, not a curated record. The transcript has 3 exons.
CACUGGGCAGGUCACAACCCCUGCACUUGGAGACAUGACAGAAUAAGGCUUGAUGGAACUUGAUUCAGUCAGACUGGGCUUCAGGCAAAACCACCUCUAGUGCAAGAGAUGAAGGUUCCCUGGCAGUUUGGUUGUACAGCUCAUGGACUUGAAAAUUCGAGCUUAAGGUGUUGUCAUUUAUUCAGCAGCAGACUCAG